GAUGAACGCUGGCGGCGUGCCUAAUACAUGCAAGUCGAGCGAACAGACGAGGAGCUUGCCCCUCUGACUUUAGCGGCGGACGGGUGAGUAAAACGUGGAUAACCUACCUAUAAGACUGGGAUAACUUCCGGAAACCGGAGCUAAUACCGGAUAACAUUUUGAACACCAUGGUUCAACAGUGUAAGACGGUUUUGCUGUCACUUAUCCAUGGAUCCGCGCCGCAUUAGCUAGUUGGUAAGGUAACGGCUUACCAAGGCAACGAUGCGUAGCCGACCUGAGAGGGUGACCGGCCACACUGGAACUGAGACACGGUCCAGACUCCUACGGGAGGCAGCAGUAGGGAAUCUUGCGCAAUGGGCGAAAGCCUGACGGAGCAACGCCGCGUGAGUGAAGAAGGUCUUCGGAUCGUAAAACACUGUUAUUAGGGAAGAACAAAUGUGUAAGUAAAUAUGCACGUAUUGACGGUACCUAAUCAGAAAGCCACGGCUAACUACGUG
RNAcentral lists this ribosomal RNA (497 nucleotides) under uncultured bacterium. RNAcentral's name for it is "partial 16S ribosomal RNA". It matches the Rfam family "Bacterial small subunit ribosomal RNA", at positions 28 to 507 of the family's 1533-position model. The record is from RNAcentral.